CGGGACGUAGCGCAGUCCGGUAGCGUACCAGGCUGGGGGUCUGGUGGUCGCAAGUUCGAAUCUUGUCGUCCCGACAA
RNAcentral lists this transfer RNA (77 nucleotides) under Chitinophagaceae bacterium. RNAcentral's name for it is "tRNA-Pro". It matches the Rfam family "tRNA". From Rfam's summary of the family: Transfer RNA (tRNA) molecules are approximately 80 nucleotides in length. Their secondary structure includes four short double-helical elements and three loops (D, anti-codon, and T loops). Lineage: Bacteria; Pseudomonadati; Bacteroidota; Chitinophagia; Chitinophagales; Chitinophagaceae. The record is from RNAcentral.